GCUAGCGUCGCCCAAUUGGCUGGGAGGCUCAUUGUCGAUGAGAUUGAUGAGGGUUCAAGUCCCGUCGCUAGUG
RNAcentral lists this transfer RNA (73 nucleotides) under Herbidospora galbida. It matches the Rfam family "tRNA". Rfam says of the family: Transfer RNA (tRNA) molecules are approximately 80 nucleotides in length. Lineage: Bacteria; Bacillati; Actinomycetota; Actinomycetes; Streptosporangiales; Streptosporangiaceae. The record is from Rfam by way of RNAcentral.